GAUGAAGAACGUAGCGAAAUGCGAUAAGUAAUGUGAAUUGCAGAAUUCAGUGAAUCAUCGAAUCUUUGAACGCACAUUGCGCCCCCUGGUAUUCCGGGGGGCAUGCCUGUCCGAGCGUCAUUACAACCCUCAAGCUCAGCUUGGUGUUGGGCCCCGCCGCCCCGGCGGGCCCUAAAGUCAGUGGCGGUGCCGUCUGGUUCCGAGCGUAGUAAUUCUUCUCGCUCUGGAGGUCCGGUCGUGUGCUUGCCAGCAACCCCAAAUUUUUUUCAGGUUGACCUCGGAUCAGGUAGGGAUACCCGCUGAACUUAAGCAUAUCAAUAAGCGGAGGA
RNAcentral lists this unclassified non-coding RNA (329 nucleotides) under soil metagenome. RNAcentral's name for it is "partial contains 5.8S ribosomal RNA, internal transcribed spacer 2, and large subunit ribosomal RNA". The stretch from base 1 to 120 matches the Rfam family "5.8S ribosomal RNA", at positions 35 to 154 of the family's 154-position model. The record is from RNAcentral.